AUGCACGCUGGCGGCGUGCCUAAUACAUGCAAGUCGAGCGAACGGACGAGAAGCUUGCUUCUCUGAUGUUAGCGGCGGACGGGUGAGUAACACGUGGAUAACCUACCUAUAAGACUGGGAUAACUUCGGGAAACCGGAGCUAAUACCGGAUAAUAUUUUGAACCGCAUGGUUCAAAAGUGAAAGACGGUCUUGCUGUCACUUAUAGAUGGAUCCGCGCUGCAUUAGCUAGUUGGUAAGGUAACGGCUUACCAAGGCAACGAUGCAUAGCCGACCUGAGAGGGUGAUCGGCCACACUGGAACUGAGACACGGUCCAGACUCCUACGGGAGGCAGCAGUAGGGAAUCUUCCGCAAUGGGCGAAAGCCUGACGGAGCAACGCCGCGUGAGUGAUGAAGGUCUUCGGAUCGUAAAACUCUGUUAUUAGGGAAGAACAUAUGUGUAAGUAACUGUGCACAUCUUGACGGUUCCUAAUCAGAAAGCCACGGCUAACUACGUG
RNAcentral lists this ribosomal RNA (496 nucleotides) under uncultured bacterium. RNAcentral's name for it is "partial 16S ribosomal RNA". It matches the Rfam family "Bacterial small subunit ribosomal RNA", at positions 29 to 507 of the family's 1533-position model. The record is from RNAcentral.